This is a non-coding RNA of Parambassis ranga (Indian glassy fish), 364 nucleotides long. NCBI's taxonomy places the organism in Eukaryota, Metazoa, Chordata, Actinopteri, Ambassidae. The record is from Ensembl.
UUGUUCCUCAGUGAGAGUGGCUUGUGUGUAUGAGGUAAGAGUGUGUGAGUGAAUGUUUGGCGGUUGUUUGGUGCGUGAAUGUGGGGUGUUUGUGUGUAUGAAUGUGUUACCGAAACUUAAAAACCUACACAGUGAUCUUAUUUGAUCCGGCCAGAGUUUGGCUCUGCUCUGAUCGGAGGUGAUAGGAAAAGCGCUCGCAAGCCUUCGUGGCGAUGAGCAGCUGGCGAGAUGUAACCUUUGGGGCCUCCACGCUUCGUGCUGUGGUCAGAGGUGAUGAAUUGAUCAGAUAUACUAGUUCUGGUUGAGCUUGAGUUCAUUUCAAGCUUCACAAUGGACAAUGAGUAAAGAAGCGAUUCUGAUCUAA